RNAcentral lists this ribosomal RNA (253 nucleotides) under uncultured bacterium. RNAcentral's name for it is "partial 16S ribosomal RNA". It matches the Rfam family "Bacterial small subunit ribosomal RNA", at positions 524 to 776 of the family's 1533-position model. The record is from RNAcentral.
UACAGAGGUCUCAAGCGUUGUUCGGAUUCAUUGGGCGUAAAGGGUGCGUAGGCGGCGCGGUAAGUCGGGUGUGAAAUCUCGGAGCUUAACUCGGAAACUGCCGUUGAUACUAUCUGUCUUGAAUACCGUGGAGGUGAGCGGAAUAUGUCAUGUAGCGGUGAAAUGCUUAGAUAUGACAUAGAACACCGAUUGCGAAGGCAGCUCACUACACGAAUAUUGACUCUGAGGCACGAAAGCGUGGGGAUCAAACAGG